AUUGAACGCUGGCGGCAGGCCUAACACAUGCAAGUCGAACGGUAACAGGAAGCAGCUUGCUGCUUCGCUGACGAGUGGCGGCCGGGUGAGUAAUGUCUGGGAAGCUGCCUGAUGGAGGGGGAUAACUACUGGAAACGGUAGCUAAUACCGCAUAAUGUCCCAAGACCAAAGAGGGGGACCUUCGGGCCUCUUGCCAUCGGAUGUGCCCAGAUGGGAUUAGCUUGUUGGUGGGGUAACGGCUCACCAAGGCGACGAUCCCUAGCUGGUCUGAGAGGAUGACCAGCCACACUGGAACUGAGACACGGUCCAGACUCCUACGGGAGGCAGCAGUGGGGAAUAUUGCACAAUGGGCGCAAGCCUGAUGCAGCCAUGCCGCGUGUAUGAAGAAGACCUUCGGGUUGUAAAGUACUUUCAGCGGGGAGGAAGGGAGUAAAGUUAAUACCUUUGCUCAUUGACGUUACCCGCAGAAGAAGCACCGGCUAACUCCGUG
Molecule: ribosomal RNA, 490 nt
Filed under: uncultured bacterium
Lineage: Bacteria
Description: partial 16S ribosomal RNA
Rfam family: Bacterial small subunit ribosomal RNA
Source: RNAcentral